Molecule: ribosomal RNA, 507 nt
Filed under: uncultured glomeraceous AM fungus
Lineage: Eukaryota; Fungi; Glomeromycota; Glomeromycetes; Glomerales; Glomeraceae
Description: SSU rRNA
Rfam family: Eukaryotic small subunit ribosomal RNA
Source: RNAcentral
UCCAAUAGCGUAUAUUAUAAUUGUUGCAGUUAAAAAGCUCGUAGUUGAAUUUCGGGGUUAGUAGGUUGGUCAUGCCCCUGGUAUGUACUGGUCUCACUGAUUCCUCCUUCCUGAUGAACCGUAAUGCCAUUAAUUUGGUGUUGCGGGGAAUUUGGACUGUUACUUUGAAAAAAUUAGAGUGUUUAAAGCAAGCUAACGNUUGAAUACAUUAGCAUGGAAUAAUGAAAUAGGACGUUCGAUCCUAUUUUGUUGGUUUCUAGGAUUGACGUAAUGAUUAAUAGGGAUAGUUGGGGGCAUUAGUAUUCAAUUGUCAGAGGUGAAAUUCUUGGAUUUAUUGAAGACUAACUACUGCGAAAGCGUUUGCCAAGGAUGUUUUCAUUAAUCAAGAACGAAAGUUAGGGGAUCGAGGACGAUCAGAUACCGUCGUAGUCUUAACCAUAAACUAUGCCGACUAGGGAUCGGAUGAUGUUAAUUUUUUAAUGACUCAUUCGGCGCCUUACGGGAAAC